UCUGGGGAGGGGGGGUCCCUCAGCCUGGAUUCCGAGAGGGCGCAGGCCAGGCCUAGGGACCCCAGCGGUGCACG
Molecule: microRNA precursor, 74 nt
Filed under: Myotis lucifugus (little brown bat)
Lineage: Eukaryota; Metazoa; Chordata; Mammalia; Chiroptera; Vespertilionidae
Description: mir-9193 microRNA precursor family
Rfam family: mir-9193 microRNA precursor family
Source: Rfam by way of RNAcentral